Macaca fascicularis (crab-eating macaque) is the source of this 147-nucleotide unclassified non-coding RNA. It matches the Rfam family "Metazoan signal recognition particle RNA". Rfam says of the family: The signal recognition particle (SRP) is a universally conserved ribonucleoprotein. The record is from Ensembl. NCBI's taxonomy places the organism in Eukaryota, Metazoa, Chordata, Mammalia, Primates, Cercopithecidae.
GCCGGGUGUGGUGGCGCAUGUCUAUAAUCCCAGCUACUUGGGAGGCUGAGGCAGGAGAAUUGCUUGAACCAGGGUGGUGAAGUUUGCAGUGAGCUGAGAUCAUGUCACUGAACUCCAGCCUGGUGACAGAGCGAGAUCCUGUCUCAA